Non-coding RNA from Canis lupus familiaris (dog), 107 nucleotides. The record is from Rfam. Lineage: Eukaryota; Metazoa; Chordata; Mammalia; Carnivora; Canidae.
GUGCUCGCUUCGGCAGCAUAUAUACUAAAAUUGGAAUGAUACAGAGAAGAUUAGCAUGGCCCCUGCACAAGCAUGACACACAAAUUCAUGAAGCGCUCCAUAUUUUU